ACCUUAUAUAGCCCACAAACAAUGCCUUGUAUAACUGCAGAAGACUUUUCUCCGAAGGGCCCCAUCUCAGUCCUGCUAUAACACGAAGAACAUACACAAAACUGAUUAGUUUGUUUCCGCA
Molecule: microRNA precursor, 121 nt
Filed under: Rhipicephalus microplus (southern cattle tick)
Lineage: Eukaryota; Metazoa; Arthropoda; Arachnida; Ixodida; Ixodidae
Description: microRNA rmi-mir-5318 precursor
Source: miRBase by way of RNAcentral